Molecule: ribosomal RNA, 482 nt
Filed under: uncultured bacterium
Lineage: Bacteria
Description: partial 16S ribosomal RNA
Rfam family: Bacterial small subunit ribosomal RNA
Source: RNAcentral
GAUGAACGCUAGCGGCAGGCCUAAUACAUGCAAGUCGAACGAGAUUAAGAGGCUUGCUUCUUAUGAAAGUGGCGCACGGGUGCGUAACGCGUAUGCAACCUACCUUAAUCAGGGGGAUAGCCCGAAGAAAUUCGGAUUAAGACCGCAUAAAAACACAGGAUAGCAUUAUCCAAUGUUCAAAUAUUUAUAGGAUUAAGAUGGGCAUGCGUGUCAUUAGCUAGUUGGCGGGGUAACGGCCCACCAAGGCGACGAUGACUAGGGGAUCUGAGAGGAUGACCCCCCACACUGGUACUGAGACACGGACCAGACUCCUACGGGAGGCAGCAGUAAGGAAUAUUGGUCAAUGGAGGGAACUCUGAACCAGCCAUGCCGCGUGCAGGAAGACAGCCCUCUGGGUCGUAAACUGCUUCUAUUCGGGAAUAAACCUUUCUACGUGUAGGAAGCUGAAUGUACCGAAGGAAUAAGGAUCGGCUAACUCCGUG